GAUGAACGCUGGCGGCGUGCUUAACACAUGCAAGUCGAACGGAAAGGCCCUGCUUUUGUGGGGUGCUCGAGUGGGGAACGGGUGAGUAACACGUGAGUAACAUGCCCUUGUAUUUGGGAUAACUUCAGGGAAAUGGGGCUAAUAUCGGAUAGGAGCUCCUGCUGCAUGGUGGGGGUUGGAAAGUUUCGGCGGUUGGGGAUGGACUCGCGGCUUAUCAGCUUGUUGGUGGGGUAGGGGAUUACAAAGGCUUUGACGGGUAGCCGGCCUGAGAGGGUGGCCGGCCACAUGGGGACUGAGAUACGGCCCAGACGCCUACGGGCGGCAGCAGUGGGGAGUAUUGCACAAUGGGCGGAAGCCUGUUGCAGCGACGCCGCGUGCGGGAUGACGUCCUUCGGGUUGUGAACCGCUUUCGCCUGUGACGAAGCGUGAGUGACGGUAAUGAAUAAAGAAGCACCGGCUAACUACGUG
Molecule: ribosomal RNA, 468 nt
Filed under: uncultured bacterium
Lineage: Bacteria
Description: partial 16S ribosomal RNA
Rfam family: Bacterial small subunit ribosomal RNA
Source: RNAcentral